RNAcentral lists this ribosomal RNA (3160 nucleotides) under Dendrobium catenatum. RNAcentral describes it as "eukaryotic LSU rRNA". It matches the Rfam family "Eukaryotic large subunit ribosomal RNA". Lineage: Eukaryota; Viridiplantae; Streptophyta; Magnoliopsida; Asparagales; Orchidaceae. The record is from RNAcentral.
GUGAAAUAAGAUUUGUUUGCUAUCAUCAAAAUCAUAAUCUAAAAAACAUGUUUGUAAUAGUAAUGUUGAGCAAACUAAAAUAGACCCAGCAUUAGAAUUGGACUACCAUGCUGCAGCUAGAAUUUUAGUAUGGAGAAGCAUCCUCAAUGAAGGACUGGCCCAAGUACCCUAAAAGGUGUACUAGGGAGGGUGAGAGUCUCAUUCGACCUAAACCCUAUUGUAAUAUGAGGCAUUCAUGGUGAGUCAUGUUUUUUUGGGAAUGCAACCCUAAUUGGGUGAUAAAUUCCAUCAAAGGCUAAUUGUAAAUGAGAGAUCGAUUAUAAACAAGUAAUAUGAGAGAAAGAUGAAAAGGACUUUGAAAAGAGAGUCAAAGAGUGCUUGAAAUUAUCAGGAGGGAAGCAUAUGAAGGCUGAUUAUGCUUUUAGGCCCGAAGCAGAAUGGAUAUGGCUUGUCUACUACUUGGCCUAAGGCGUGGAUCAUUGCAUUCCUUCCUGAUAGUAGGAUCCUGGGCUAUCAAUGCUCGAGGAGGCAUCAUUAGGGCUAUCAGCCAACUCAUGAGCCAAUACAGUGAGCCUUUUGAGGAUCUAUAAUGCCCGUUAUAAUGGCUCAUGGGAUCACCAUUUGACCCAUUCUAAAACACAGAUGAAGGAGCCUGAUAUGCAUACCAAUCAAUGGGUGUUAAAGCCCAGUGUACAUUAGGAAGCUGAUGUGUGGGAUCCUCUUUUAUAGGUGCAUCACUGAUGCACCCAGAUCAUCUAUGAAGGGUUUGAGUGUGAGCAUGCAUGUCAAGACCCAAAAGAUGGUUAACUAUGCCUGAGCAAGGUGAAGCUAGAGGAAACUCCGAUGGAGGCCCAGGUAGGUUUAGCCUGAUAAGGAGUUCUAUAAAGUAAAGCAAAAAAAUUAGAGGCAUUAGGGGCACAACAUCCUCAACCUAUUCUCAAACUUUAAGUAGGUAGGAUGGCUAGGAUGCUUUGAUGAGCCAUACCACAUAAUCAAAGGCUCCAAGUGGGCCAUUUUUUGUAAGAAAACCUUACAAGGUAGGAUGAACUAGAAGCUUGGUUAUGGUGCCCAAUUACAUGCUAACCUAGAACCCACAUAGGGUGUUGGUCGAUUAAGACAAUAGGAUGGUGAUCAUGGAAAUCAAAAUCCACUAAGGAGAGUGUAACAACUCACUUACUGAAUCAUCUAGCCUAAAAAAUGGAUUGAGCUUAAGCUCAUGACCCACACCCAACCAUCAGGGAAAUGGCCGGCCCAGAUGGCUAGAAGGGUAUGGGGUCCGCCAUAAAAUUUGGGGUGUGAGCCCGUGCUAAGCUGCCAUUGGUGCUAAUCUUUGUGGUAGUAGUAAACAUUCAAAUGAGAGCUUUAAAGGCCAAAGGGGAAAAAGGUUCCAUGUAAAUGGAACUUGCCUUUUGGUUAGCUAAUCCUAAGAGAUGAGGGAGGUCUGCUAGAGAUAGGUGCUUCAUGCGAGCUUUAAAAGGGAGUCGGAUUAAAAUUCUUGAGCUGAAAUGUUACGGCUAACUCCAAUGUUAGGUAUUAUAGGGAAGCCAUUACGGACUUUAGGAAGAGUUAUUUUUUCUGCUUAACUAGCUACUUACCAUAAAAAUGGCUUAGCCGGCGGUAGCACCCUGGAAGAGUGCCGCAUAUUGAGCGGUGUCUAGUAAGCCCUCGAUAGCCCCUAAAAAUUUUGAGGGCUAAGUUCCAUCCACUCUCAGUCAUACUCUAAACAGCAUUAGGCCUCCAAGGUUAUUAACCUCUUAUAGAUGGAACAAUGUAAGCAGGGGAAGUCAGUAAAAUGUAUCAAUAACUUUGGGAAAAGGAUUAACUCCGAGGGCUGGGCAUGGGGGUCCUAGUCUUUAAUCCGCCAACUAUUGAUGGACUACUUGAUUUUCACUCAUGUUAAGAGCAGGCGACUGCGUGUGGGCUAGAGGACAGAGUGGGAGCGACUUUCUUGGGGGCCUUCCCCAUGAAUUGAACAACCAACAUACAACUGGUACAGUCAAGGGAAUCUAACGGUUUAAUCAAAUAAAGUAUUGUGAUGGUCCCAGUGGAUGCUCACGCAAUGUAAUUUCUACCCAGUCCUCUAAAUGUCAAAGUGAAGAAAUUCUGCCAAGCACAGGUAAACAGCGAGAGUAUCUAUAACUCUUUUAAGGUAGCCAAAUGCCUCAUCAUCUAAUUAGUGAUGUGCAUUAAUGGAUUAAUGAGAUUCCCACUAUCCCUAUAUAUUAUCCAGAGAAACCAUAGCCAAGGGAACAGGCUUGGUAGAAUAAACGAGGAAACAAAACCAUGUUGAGCAUGACUCUACUCUAACUUUAUGAAAUGACUUGAGAGGUAUAGGAUAAGUGGAAGCUGGCUAGCCGAUGGAAGUGGAAUACCACUAAUUUUAAUGUUGUUUUACCUAUUCUAUGAGAUAGAGGCGGGGCAUGGCCCCACCUUUUGUCUUUUAGUAUUUCCUCGAUGGGUCGAUUCGAGUAGAAGACAUUAUCAGAUGGGGAUUUUAGUUGGGUGGCACAACUAUUAAAAGAUAACAUAGGUGUUUUAAUAUGAGCCAAAUGAUAACAUAAAUCUCAUGUGGAACAAAAGGUUAAAAGCUUGUUUGAUUCUGAUUUCUAAUGUGAAUACAAACCAUGAAAGCAUGGCUUAUCGAUCCUUUCGUCAUUCAUAAUUUGAAGCAAGAGGUGUCAUAAAAGUUAUCACUAGGAUAAUCAGGUUGUAGUAACCAAGCAUUCAUAGCGAUGUUACUUUUUAAUCCUUCAAUGUCGGCAGUUCAUAUCAUUGUGAAGCAUAAUUCACUAAGUGUUGGAUUCUUCACACACCAACAAAGAAUGUUAGAUGGGUUUAGACCAUCAUAAUGCAAGUUAGUUUAACCCGACUAAUGAUCAUACUAUGAUAGUAAUUCAACCUAAUAUGAGAGGAACUAUUAAUUAACACAAUUGAUCAUUACACUCUAUUGAAAGCUAGUGACACAAAGCUACAAUGUGCAGGAUUAAGACUCAAUGCCUAUAAGUAAGAAUCCAUGCUAAAAAUGUCACACCUGAGCCUACCAUUUUCCCACCAACCAGUAGUAGGGGAUUUGGCCCCUAGGGACAUAUAAAAUAUGAUUCUUUCUUGUUGUUCAUCUAGAUCAGUGGCCUGGAAGCACUGAAAUGCAGUUUUGAAUGGA